GGUGACAGCCAUACCCCGCUGAACACGCUAGAUCUAUAUUGAUCUAUUGAUUGGAAGCUAAGCAGUGUCGGGCCUGGUUUGGUACUUGGAUGGGAGACCGCCUGGGAAUGGCUCAUGAUGACCCCC
RNAcentral lists this ribosomal RNA (126 nucleotides) under Gadus morhua (Atlantic cod). Lineage: Eukaryota; Metazoa; Chordata; Actinopteri; Gadiformes; Gadidae. The record is from RNAcentral.